UUGCCUACGGGCGGCUGCAGUGGGGAAUAUUGGACAAUGGGCGAAAGCCUGAUCCAGCAAUGCCGCGUGAGUGAUGAAGGCCUUAGGGUUGUAAAGCUCUUUUACCAGGGAUGAUAAUGACAGUACCUGGAGAAUAAGCUCCGGCUAACUCCGUGCCAGCAGCCGCGGUAAUACGGAGGGAGCUAGCGUUGUUCGGAAUUACUGGGCGUAAAGCGCGCGUAGGCGGUUUUUUAAGUCAGAGGUGAAAGCCCAGUGCUCAACACUGGAACUGCCUUUGAAACUGGAAAACUUGAAUCUUGGAGAGGUCAGUGGAAUUCCGAGUGUAGAGGUGAAAUUCGUAGAUAUUCGGAAGAACACCAGUGGCGAAGGCGACUGACUGGACAAGUAUUGACGCUGAGGUGCGAAAGCGUGGGGAGCAAACAGGAUUAGAUACCCUAGUAGUCAG
Molecule: ribosomal RNA, 445 nt
Filed under: uncultured Sphingomonadales bacterium
Lineage: Bacteria; Pseudomonadati; Pseudomonadota; Alphaproteobacteria; Sphingomonadales
Description: bacterial SSU rRNA
Rfam family: Bacterial small subunit ribosomal RNA
Source: RNAcentral